Molecule: transfer RNA, 85 nt
Filed under: Polyporus arcularius HHB13444
Lineage: Eukaryota; Fungi; Basidiomycota; Agaricomycetes; Polyporales; Polyporaceae
Description: tRNA-Ala
Source: RNAcentral
GGGCAUGUGGUGUAGUUGGUUAUCACGCUCGCUUAGCAUCUCCCAAGCUUGCGAGAGGGGUCCGGUUCAAUCCCGGACAUGUCCA